CGAAUCGCAUGCGAGGUCGCGGUAGGUGGAAGAAUCCUUGGGGUCGAAGAGCAGCGGUGUCUGCUCGUAGCAUUGAGUGCAAGGCUUGCAGUUGGCCCAGAUGAGGUCGCUGCCGGUGUCGACGAUGGCGACGACCUUAAACUUGGGGGUACCAAGCUCGACCUCGAUGAGGUACUCGGUGAGGUCGGGAAGGACUUGGGCCUCGAUGGAGGUAUCACCGGAAGCGGCGAGGCCGGCACGUGCAACGCGCGAUGGCCGGAGGGCGGAGCGCUCGGCCGCUGCUCUCACGCGGUCGAAGGCGGUAGAUGAAGGAUCAUACAGCGGGGACCGGGGCGAGUCACGAUGGAUGAGGUCGACACGGAAGCCAUCUGCGGCAGCCCCCGCGGCGACAGCAGCAAGAAAGAUGGCAAAGGCAAUGGGCUUCAUGGUGAAGAAGAAGAAGAGAAGAGGAAGAAUGCAGCGAACUGAGAUGGUGUGGGGUAUUUUUAGGGAGGGGAAAGGGAAUCGUCGGAGAUAAUGAAGCAAGAGCUGUCCGAAACUGAUUUGGGGAAAGAAUCCGGAGGGACAGAUCACCUACUGUUUCCCGGUGGGCGGCGCGCGGCGGUCGCUGAAUGGAACGGAAGGGUCGGAACGGGAAGGCCAGUAUCCUUCCAUGACACCGAGGAUAUGCAUAUCCUUAUCUGACCCGGUGGCGUCCACCGGAAACACAUCAAAAUUCGUGCUGCCGUUUGAACCUUCAAAUUGAACCGGUUGGUCCCUUUGUUACGAGGAAGAAGAAACACAUGAGAUUAUGUUAAUUUCCAGGUCGAUUGGCUUUUAAUAGAAAUAGAAAUUUUGUAUGUGUUUGGAUAAAUCAUUAUUUUAAUACUUGAUCAUAUCUUUAUAUUUUUUAAAUUAGAAGCAAGAAAAUAUUUUGACUAUUUAAAAAAAAGAACUCUCUCCUUAUGGAUGGGUUAAGUUCAAAUUUAUGUUGAGCAAAAUGAAAAGAGAGACUAUAAAUAAAAAUAUAGAUACAAUAAACUAAUAAGAAAUUUAGUUUAUGAUGUCAUUCCUUAUCAUAAAGGAAAUUACUUUCCUUAUAAUAAACAAUUUAUGAUUAUCUUCCUUUUCUUGCUAUAACGAAUGAGAAGAAAGUUUGUAUUUCCUUAUAAUAAACAAGAAAGCUUAUGAUUAUCUUUUUCGUCACAUGACUUAUAUGUCACGUGCUGAUUGCGUGUCAACUAUUGAUAAAUUUCUUAUCAUUUAUCCCUUCUGGAAUGCAUACUUCAUGGUUUCGAUAGGGUGUUCGAGGCACAUCGUUUGAUCAUUUGGUUUUAUCGAUAUCAAGUUUCGCGAUUGUGUAAUGAUUUUUAUUUAUUCGUCAUAGCGAAUAUAUUCAUCCACCAUAGCAGGUCUGUUUAUCUAUCUUAGCGAGCCUAUUUGUCCACUAUCACAACGGUUCUAUUCGUUCACCAUAGUGGGUUUUGCUAUUGACCAUCGUUGUGGGAGUGGGAGUCCGUCAUUGCGGAUUUUGCCUUAACCGCCAUUGUUGGAGCUAUUGCGGAUUUUGCCUCGAUCGUCAUUACGAGAGUAAGAGUCUACCGUUGUGGAUUUUGCCUCGACCAUCUUUAAAAGAGUAGGAGUCUGCUAUUGCAUAUUUUGUCUCGGUCGUCAUUGCAGGAGUAGGAGUCUGUCAUUGUGGAUUUUGCCUCAACAGCCAUUGCGAGAGUAGGGGCCCAUCAUUCCAGAUUUUACCUUGACCAUUGUUGUGAGAAUAGGAGUCUGUCAUUGUAGAUUUUGCAUUGACCACCGUUUGUGAGAGUGGGAGUUUUCUAUUGCAGAUUUUGUUUAGCUCGUUGUUGUGAAUUUUGCCUUGAUUGCCAUUGCAAGAGUAGGAGUCCACCGUUGUAGAUUUUACCUCAAUUGUCAUUGUGGGAGUAAGGGUCCGUCGUUGCAGAUUUUACCUCGACCACCAUUGGAGUAGGAGUCUACCAUUGCAUAUUUUGCGAGGGUAGGGGUCUGCCAUUGUGGAUUUUGCCUCCGCCUCCUUUAUCUUCGAGAGAUGGGCUUUCCUCCUUUGCCUUCAGGAGAGGGCUCAUGAGCUCUCUUUCUUCGCCUUUAGGAUAUGGCACAUAGACUCUCCUCCUUCACCUUUAAGAGAGGGCACAUAAGAUUUCCUUCAUCGCCUUUGGGAGAGGGCACAUGGGAUUUCCUCCUUCGCCUAUGGGAGAGAGUGCAUGAACUCUCCUCCUUCACCUUUGGAAGAGGGUGCACGGGCUCUCCUCCUUUACCUUCGAAAUAGGGCACACGAGCUCUCCUCCUUCGCCUUCAAGAGAGCAUGCAUGACCUCUUCUUCUUUGCCUUCGAGAGAGAGCAUUGGUUUGGGGCCCUAUCAUAGCGGGAGUGUGGAUUUAUUGUAGUGGCUUGGUUCAAUCGCUGUAGAGAGUUUGACUAUAGUAAUGGGUUAGGUCAUUUUUGAAAUACCUUGAUUAGUUAUUCCAUCUAGGGGGGAGGGGCCUUAUCGAGGUCUCGGGGGUCAAUGAGUGGAUUCUCUGACUUCAUCUUCUGUCUUAGCACAUUGAGUUAUUUUUAAUAUGACAUGAUUUAGUUAGCUUUUGAUUAUAGGGCUAUGGAGUUUGAAUCUUAUUGUACCACUUCGGCUAUCGGGAGGUACUUUAUUUAGUACCAUGACCAUAGUGCUCCCAUGUGUCUCAUGUUUUAGUUUUUGUUAUUUACUAUGGUUUGUGCUACUUGAGCUUUUUUUUUUUUUACAAGUAUGGAUCCCGAUAGUCGUAGUCUUCCAGUAUCUCCUAUUGAGCUUUCGAGCUCAUGGAAGGUCGAGUGAGAGUCUUAGGUCAGGCUAGAGUGGUCUACAUAAUCGUGGGCUCUAAUGCCUUUAGGGGGUGAUGGCUCAUCCUACCAGGGUCGUGGGGACUUGAUAUAGGCAUUGUAGAGGCGCAAGUGUGCCGUGAAGACUGUUUUUUUGCCACAAGUGCCCUACCUUGAGACGAGAGACUAUGAGGACUAUUCUCCCCCUAUCAAGGUUUCUCUUAACGGGACUGUGCAAGGUGGAGGACGUGCUGUUGAGGGGCUAUCUUGUGAAUAUAUGUGUACUGACCCUUCAUGUCGGUUGGGGCCUCUUGGGCCCCAAUCUCUUUAUAGGCUAUGCUCUUAUCAUCCAGGGUUAUUCAUGGCUUUUAAUAUGGUCAACUAGCCCCCUAUGGCCCUUCUUAUGACUUAUUGUGAGGGGAUGACUAAGGAUAUGAAGAUGUGGGAGAGCUCCUCGACUAUGGGUGGGGCUUGCUGAGAUUGAGAAGGACUUCGUAUCGAUAUAAGUAACUUAUUACUUUAGAGAGCCUUAAGACCAAGUACCUAGGAAUGUGUGUUGAGGAGGAACCAUUCACUCUGCAGACCGAAGAUCUCGAUAUCCUUGAAGCAUAUGUCUCUUUCGAUGAUAGCCUUGACUCAUCUUUUUUUUUUUUAAUCCUUUUUGAAGGGUUUCAAUUUGCAUCUUUCGGAUGUGAGCCCUCGAUUGUAAGCGUCGCACUAAUGCAAGCCUCCUACUUUUAAUAAAAUUUUCUUUCUUCAUGUGCUAUUAUAUUGUGAGCUUUUUAGUUGAGGUGAUACUUUAAGGACAUAAUCCUUUUCGUUGAUGUAUUACGCUCUAAGGUAGAGCUCUAUAUUCUAUAAUCUUAAGGUGAUGAGUUCCCUCUCGGGUGUAGCCUAAUAUUAUUACGUUGGUGCCAUUGGUUGGAGAGCCAACAUGGCCUAAUUCGAUCCCGAAGCGAAUAUCCACCCAAAGGGCUCGCUCAGGGGCGAGGGUGCAACCCAAACGGGGGGUUGAGAUGGCAAGUAGACUCCUAAUGUGUUGCUAGCAUUAGGAGUCCCUAACUUUCUACUCUUCUUUCAAAUUUUUCUUAAUGAGGUGAUAUUCAAUAAAAAAACCUAACAUUUUAUAUAAAAUUAUUAUUUGUGAUAAAUAUCGAUGAUCUAAUGAAACCGAUAUGGCAAUGUCAAGGCCUUUCAUUCCCCAUUUACACAAGAUAGGAUAUGGAUUGAGAAUCCCUAUUUAAGAUUGAUAACUCACGAGUUCUUCAUAAUUUUCUAAUUAAUUUAUUAUAUCUUAGAAAAAACUAUUAUCAAAGUUAAUUAAUAAUUCCUAAAUGUAUAAGUAAUAAGGAUAAUAUUUAUAAAGUUUAUGUAUCAUAAAAAUAUUUAAUAUAAAUAUAAAUAUAAAUAAAUAAAUAUAUAUAUAUUAAUAUUUAUUGAUACUGUAUCAUUUGGUUUGAUAGAACCAAUUGGUUUAUGAUUUGAUUUGUAAUCGACUCAACUUAGUCAAAUUUGAAUCAUGUGAGUGACUAACGAUGCUAUCGAUGGCGAACAAUGCACGAAGGACUUGCAUUUAAGCAAAGAGAGGUUCAUGAAUAUGAGCCCUCUUAGUUAAGAUAUUUUAUAAUGGGUGAUGAUAAGUAAUAUUACGUUUACAUUUUCCAUUGAAGAGAUGAUAAGUGAUGAUAAGUAUCUAUCGACAUCAUUUUCCAUCGAAAAGAUCAGCUGUUUAGGUCAUCUAUUCUAUUUGCCACAGGAAAAGCUACAGAGCUUUUCAUGCAAGCCUUACCCUUCUCAUCUUCGCAAGAGCUCGGUUUUCUAAGUAAUCCUCCUAUUUUGAGAUGGAAAGUGCAUGUAAGAAGUAAAGCACAAAAAGAACUUCCUGCAUAUCAUCAAACCCAUAGAUCUUCCAUGGACAAUUCAAGAUUUAUAUAUCAUUAGAUUGAAUCGAAUCGAGUCUGGACGGAGUCCAGCGAUCUUAUUCACAAAAUCAAAGCACAAACAAGAACAGAACGAUAUCCGACAUAAGGAAUGACAACAAGAACAGUUUACAUACACACAGAAAGACACAGACGAACGUAGAGGUGGGCUUAGAAGUCGGUGCAGUCGACAUGAGCGAAGGAGAGCUGGUCCGUCCCCAGAUUGUACUCAACAUGAAGGUUCUGCUGCGCAACGUUACCGAAGAUCUGGACAUCAGCGGAGCUAUACACCGCCAGGCACACCACGUCCGGCGCAACCUCUAUGAAGGUGUUCAUCGGGCUCAGCUUCAAUGGUGCCCCCUCGAAGUUGUAGGUGAUGUCCGGAAACUUGUAGUCGCGAGAACCACUGACGUCGAAGCACGCUGCGAAGGAGGAAAGGUCGGGGUCGUUGGGGACCGGGAGAUCCACUACGUCUUUCACUGCUUUUGCCAGUUCGCCUACCACGUCGGGGGAAAGAAUGUUCAGUGUCGUGCCGGAAUCGAUGAUAAUGUUUGGUGAUCCGGAAGCAGUUGGAGAGGUCGCCGAGAUAUUUGUGUUGCCGACGCUGAUCCCGUUGAGAGUUAGAUAGUAGAAAGAUUCUUGUACGGUGAGGGGCGUGGACAAGACGUUCCUUCCGGAGAGGGCGGGACCAUCGCCGAAAACUAGCUUGCUGGUGGCGGACGUCUGCGAAAAGGGAACCAAGCAGUAGGAGAACUUGGCGUAGAUGGAGGAACCGAGCUGGGAGACGAGGGAGAGCUGCCCGGCAGCAAGUCCCACGAGCCCACCGGUCCUGUUGCUGAAGGUGCCGCUGCUCUGAUGAGAGCACCCGAAGGUGAUAUUGCGGGUGGAGAUCGUUUCCGAGCCGGUGGUGGCGAAGGUGAAGGUCUCGCUCGCCAGAUUGCCGACGACCUGCGAUUGGUCUCCGUAGGAGUACUGGUACUGGCACUUGGAGUCGCUGCUGCAGCCCGACACGGGAAGCUCGUCGCACUGCUGCGAAUCGCAUGCGAGGUCGCGGUAGGUGGAAGAAUCCUUGGGGUCGAAGAGCGGCGGUGUCUGCUCGUAGCAUUCAGUGCAAGGCUUGCAGUUGGCCCAGAUGAGGUCGCUGCCGGUGUCGACGAUGGCGAUGACCUUAAACUUGGGGGUACCGAGCUCGACCUCCAUGAGGUACUCAGCGGAGUCGGGAACGACAGGGGCCUC
Molecule: long non-coding RNA, 5963 nt
Filed under: Musa acuminata (dwarf banana)
Lineage: Eukaryota; Viridiplantae; Streptophyta; Magnoliopsida; Zingiberales; Musaceae
Description: long non-coding RNA (MACU_LNC002207)
Source: RNAcentral